AUACGGAGGAUGCAAGCGUUAUCCGGAUUUAUUGGGUUUAAAGGGUGCGUAGGCGGUUUGCUAAGCGGGAGGUGAAAUGCCGGCGCUCAACGUCGGAAGUGCCUCCCGAACUGGUGGACUUGAAUGACUCUGCCGUGGGAGGAAUGUGUAGUGUAGCGGUGAAAUACUUAGAGAUUACACAGAACACCGAUUGCGAAGGCAUCUCACGAAGGGUUGAUUGACGCUGAGGCACGAAAGCGUGGGGAUCAAACAGGAUUAGAUACCCUGGUAGUCCACGUAGUAAACGAUGAUGGCUAACCGCUGGUUUAUUCGGAUCAGUGGCCAAGCGAAAGCGAUAAGCCAUCCACCUGGGGAGUACGACCGCAAGGUUGAAACUCAAAGGAAUUGACGGGG
Molecule: ribosomal RNA, 393 nt
Filed under: uncultured bacterium
Lineage: Bacteria
Description: partial 16S ribosomal RNA
Rfam family: Bacterial small subunit ribosomal RNA
Source: RNAcentral